GCUUGAUCUCCCUUAACUUCUCCGACCCACUGGUUAGUAGGAAAUUUCAAUUUCAGAUGGUAGGUUGAUACUACAGCCCGGAGAGCAUUGAGGCCAGGUCGGGCGAGAAUUGCGUUGUAGGCUGACGGUGCCUUCACCACCAGAAAAUCCACCAGAGCCCUGGACUAUUUUGGAUAUCGACCUGCAACUACAGUCAAGGUUAUUACUCCCUCC
This 213-nucleotide long non-coding RNA is filed under the name Elaeis guineensis (African oil palm). RNAcentral describes it as "long non-coding RNA (EGUI_LNC058257)". The record is from RNAcentral. Lineage: Eukaryota; Viridiplantae; Streptophyta; Magnoliopsida; Arecales; Arecaceae.